This 254-nucleotide ribosomal RNA is filed under the name uncultured bacterium. RNAcentral describes it as "partial 16S ribosomal RNA". It matches the Rfam family "Bacterial small subunit ribosomal RNA", at positions 524 to 777 of the family's 1533-position model. The record is from RNAcentral.
UACGUAGGGGGCAAGCGUUGUCCGGAAUCAUUGGGCGUAAAGCGCGUGUAGGCGGCUUGGUAAGUCCGCUCUGAAAGCCCGGGGCUCAACCCCGGGAGGCGGGUGGAUACUGUCAAGCUCGAGUCCGGAAGAGGCGAGUGGAAUUCCUGGUGUAGCGGUGAAAUGCGCAGAUAUCAGGAGGAACACCAAUGGCGAAGGCAGCUCGCUGGGACGUGACUGACACUGAGGCGCGAAAGCGUGGGGAGCGAACAGGG